UGUGAAGAUGCGGCCUACCCGCAGCAGGACAAAAAGACCCCGUGGAGCUUUACUGUAUCUUGGCAUUGAGUUUGGGUGUGAUCUGUGUAGCAUAGGUGGGAGGCUUUGAAGCUGGGGCGCUAGCCUCGGUGGAGCCAUCGGUGAAAUACCACCCUGAUUACAUUUAGACCCUAACCCCGCACCGUCAUCCGGGCGGGGGACCGUGCCAGGUGGGCAGUUUGACUGGGGCGGUCGCCUCCUAAAAGGUAACGGAGGCGCCCAAAGGUUCCCUCAGGGUGAAUGGAAACCACCCAAAGAGUGUAAAGGCAUAAGGGAGCUUGACUGCAAGACCAACGCGUCGAGCAGAGUCGAAAGACGGGCUUAGUGAUCCCACGGAUCCGAGUGGAAGGGCCGUGGCUACCGGAUAAAAGCUACCCCGGGGAUAACAGGCUGGUGAGAUCCAAGAGUUCACAUCGACGAUCUCGCUCGGCACCUCGAUGUCGGCUCAUCGCAUCCUGGGGCUGGACAAGGUCCCAAGGGUCGGGCUGUUCGCCCGUUAAAGCGGUACGCGAGCUGGGUUCAGACCGUCGUGAGACAGGUCGGUCUCUAUCCGCUGUGGGCGUAAGGGAUUUGAAGGGAGCUGCUCCUAGUACGAGAGGACCGGAGUGGACAGACCUCUGGUGUGCCAGUUGUCGUGCCAACGGCAUUGCUGGGUAGCUACGUCUGGCAAAGAUAACCGCUGAAAGCAUCUAAGUGGGAAACUUGCCCUAAGAUUAGAUACCUGUAUCCUUAAUGGAGUAAGACCGCAGGUAGACUACCUGCUUGAUAGGCGGUGUGUGUAAGCACAGUAAUGUGUUGAGCUAAACCGUACUAAUGGUCGAGGGCUUAUUUGC
Molecule: ribosomal RNA, 872 nt
Filed under: Chloroflexota bacterium
Lineage: Bacteria; Bacillati; Chloroflexota
Description: Chloroflexi bacterium (permafrost metagenome) partial 23S ribosomal RNA
Rfam family: Bacterial large subunit ribosomal RNA
Source: RNAcentral